AUCAACAUGGAUGAACCUGGAGGAUAUUAAGUGAAACAAGCCAGGCACAGGAAGACAAAUACCACAUGCUUUCACUCAUAUAUGUGGAGCAUUGUACCCUGGAAUGCCAGUUCCUUGAUGAAGAGAUUGGAUUUUUUUGACUGAAUUCUAUAUACUUCUCCAAGUACCUGGUAUUUAGCGGCCUCUCAGCUAUUACUAAUACUUGUUUGGUCCUGGAGAUGUUUAAUAAUUACCUGUUGCUUUAUCUUGAGGAUAGCAGUCAAGUAGAAUGAAGACUGCUGAGGUGAAAAACAGACACACAAAAGCCUAAAUAGCCGAGAGUCCUCAGUUCACUGGAGGCUCCAGAUAUCUUCACAAUUGUAAAGACAGAAACAAAAAAUUUGAAAAAUACCAAAAGGAAAAAUAAGUGCAAACCAAAACAGGGAAUGACAAAGGAAGCCAUCUGAAGAUGCCUUCAUCAUCUGAACAUUUCUCAGUUGCUAUUUUACUUUUUGAAAGUAGACUGUUAUUUAAGAGUCAAUUGCAUUUAUCUGUGCCUCAUCUCCCCUAUUUAUUAUGCCUCCUCAAGGCAUUGGACAAUGUUAACCACAUUCCUUUUAACUCCCCAGAACAUUGAGUCUUAUGCAUCAAGUGAGAGCAAUUUAUAAGCCCUUCGUUAUGUUUUCCCGGAAACUAGAUGAAAGUGUUUUAAGUAAGGAGAAAUCACUUAAAAUGGUAAGCUUGUCUAUUUCUCUGCAUGGUUGAGGACGUCCAGCUGCUCUGGGCUGCAGUUUGUGUCCUGCCAUCCCUGCAAAACUUCUGCCUGAUAUCUGCCUUCACCACCACCCAACCCAAAGCAACUCUGAUUCUGGCAAGCUGACCUCUCUUUUUUCAGGGCAAUUUAUCUCUCCCUGUGCCCUGGGAGAGGCCAGACAACAGUCCUGAGAGACGCUGCCAGCAAGUUGUUUAUGCCAGGAGAGUGUUGCCCUACCCGUGGCCUCACUGCAGAGCCCUCUAUGGAGAGGGGAUGUAUCUGAUUCUGAUGUUCUUUUACAAAUCAAAUUUCUGCAUUUUAAUUUUUGUACCUCUUCUCAGACGCUGCAUUGUAUGAUAGAAUAUUUAUUUUAUUAUUAAAAAUGGUGAAUUAACUAGCACAUUGCUUUUUCUAUCUUAAUAACGACUAUCUUAAUUCUGUAAAAUUAUAAUGUAAGUCUUGAGUAAAGUAGUCAUUGCAGUAUUUUAUAAUCCUAGUCAUAUACCAGAGCUUUCUCAAGGGGAAAAGUAUUAUAGUUAUCUCUUCAAUAUUUGCUUAUGUGAAACAGUUAUUAACACCGUUUAUAGCUAACCCUGUCUGUAGUGACUGUUUUGAGAACCCUAAAUCUCUAAUUUAAAGGCCCAAGAUUUUAUCAGUUUGUAUGGAACCUGUGUUUGCUCCUCAGUCCUGGUUUCCUAAUAAACUUAUGAAGAUAUUUGUGAUGGAUUUCUGAAGAUUUCGAGUACAUGUGAGGGGAUUCAGUACAAAUUACAGGGAUUCAACACAUUGACAGCAGGAAAAAUGUAAUGAAUUGUUAGGUGGGGAAUGAUGUAAAGUGAAGUAAUCUGAAUAAAAGCCUAUAUUAUA
Molecule: long non-coding RNA, 1600 nt
Filed under: Homo sapiens (human)
Lineage: Eukaryota; Metazoa; Chordata; Mammalia; Primates; Hominidae
Description: HSALNT0408155
Source: RNAcentral